This is a non-coding RNA of Bursaphelenchus xylophilus (pine wood nematode), 46 nucleotides long. The record is from Rfam. Lineage: Eukaryota; Metazoa; Nematoda; Chromadorea; Rhabditida; Aphelenchoididae.
CAAACGGCCCUCUUUAGGGCCACAAGAACUUGCCUGUAUAUAUAAA